GAUGAAGAACGUAGCGAAAUGAGAUAAGUAAUGUGAAUUGCAGAAUUCAGUGAAUCAUCGAAUCUUUGAACGCACAUUGCGCCCGCCAGUAUUCUGGCGGGCAUGCCUGUUCGAGCGUCAUUACAACCCUCAGGCCCCCGGGCCUGGCGUUGGGGAUCGGCGGAGCCCCCCGUGGGCACACGCCGUCCCCCAAAUGCAGUGGCGGUCCCGCCGCAGCUUCCAUCGCGUAGUAGCUAACACCUCGCGACUGGAGAGCGGCGCGGCCACGCCGUAAAACACCCAACUCUUCUGAAGUUGACCUCGAAUCAGGUAGGAAUACCCGCUGAACUUAAGCAUAUCAAUAAGCGGAGGA
This 352-nucleotide unclassified non-coding RNA is filed under the name soil metagenome. RNAcentral describes it as "partial contains 5.8S ribosomal RNA, internal transcribed spacer 2, and large subunit ribosomal RNA". The stretch from base 1 to 120 matches the Rfam family "5.8S ribosomal RNA", at positions 35 to 154 of the family's 154-position model. The record is from RNAcentral.